CCUACGGGGGACAGCAGUGAGGAAUAUUGGUCAAUGGCCGUAAGGCUGAACCAGCCAAGUCGCGUGAAGGAAGAAGGAUCUAUGGUUUGUAAACUUCAUUUAUAGGGGAAUAAAGGUCUCCUCGUGUGGAUGUUUGCAUGUACCCUAUGAAUAAGCAUCGGCUAACGCCGUGCCAGCAGCCGCGGUAAUACGGAGGAUGCGGGCGUUAUCCGGAGUUAGUGGGUUUAAGGGGGACGUGGGUAGUGUGUUAAGUGAGUGGUGAACGUUUGUGGCUUAACCAUAAAAUUGCCGUUGAAACUGGCAGACUUGAGGGCGGGUGAGGUAGGCGGAAUGCGUGGUGUAGCGGUGAAAUGCAUAGAUAUCACGCAGAACUCCGAUUGCGAAGGCAGCUUACUAGGCCAUAACUGACACUGAAGCACGAAAGCGUGGGGAUCAAACAGGAUUAGAUACCCCAGUAGUC
RNAcentral lists this ribosomal RNA (460 nucleotides) under uncultured bacterium. RNAcentral's name for it is "partial 16S ribosomal RNA". It matches the Rfam family "Bacterial small subunit ribosomal RNA", at positions 338 to 795 of the family's 1533-position model. The record is from RNAcentral.